GCAUGAUACCGACGAAACAGCACAACGACAAUUGACAAUCUAAGGCUGUGCGCAGUUGACUACCUGAAUAUUAACGAUAAAGGCCGAAUGAUAAUUUAGUAGCCUAACAUUACCAGAUUAAAACGUUUAGUGAGGCUGGUUUUAAGAAUUUAUCCUAACCCUUUUUCGUCAUGACCGCACGGCGUUACGUCGGAUGAGCCGCAUCAAACCGUCAGUUUGGUAUCGAUACAAAAUCGGGUUUAUUAGGCAUAAAUCCCGAAUAUUAUUUGCGCGAUAAAAAUAAUAAUAACGCGAGAGUUUGCAAGUUGCCAGAAGACUGUAGUUGCAGCUGUCAAAGGAAGAGUGGAUACGCGCAUGACUCAACACACAUUACUGUAGCAUAUUACUGUACACGGCCGCGAAGAUAAUUUCCGUAUAAAACCCCGAAAUAAUCCCGAGGCGCGUGGCUAACGACCGUGACGACUGUCAGUCCGUCUCCAUCGAAGCCCCCGACCAGACCCGCUUGGAACAGCAGGUGUGAUGGCCAUGUAAAACCGGGAAAGGCGCAUAUACCGCGCGAGGUGUAGCCCUACCGCCUGACCCCCACGUGGGUGACCCGGGCCACCCGGCUGCUCGUGUUGGGUGACUCCCGACAUUGCAGCAUGGAGACCCCCAGUAGCCCCCGGCUGGGGAAGCUGUCAACAGGGGGGGCUUCAAGAGGUCGUCCCCCCAAACAGGCCCACCCCCAGGAGGCUGCCAGGACCACAGCUACAGGCCCAGAGAGCAACAAACAGAGUGAGUGACCACUAGACUGACCAUGUUUUGACCACGGACGGUCACUGUGUGUGGGCUUUGUUUCAGCACAGCUCUCAUAGGCUCCCGAGUGGCGCAGCGGUCUAAGGCACUGCAUCUCAGUGCUUGAGGUGUCACUACAGACACCAUG
This is a long non-coding RNA of Salvelinus namaycush (lake trout), 922 nucleotides long. RefSeq lists it as uncharacterized. Lineage: Eukaryota; Metazoa; Chordata; Actinopteri; Salmoniformes; Salmonidae. The record is from RefSeq and is a predicted model, not a curated record. The transcript has 3 exons.